AACGAACGCUGGCGGCGUGGAUAAGACAUGCAAGUCGAACGCUAAUACAAAGGUAGCAAUAUCGUUGUGUUGGAGUGGCGAAAGGGUGAUUAACACGUGGGCAAGUUACCGCGAGAUCUGGGAUAACCUGCUGAAAGGCAGGCUAAUACUGGAUAACACCUUGGAUCGGCAUCGAUUCAAGUUUAAAGCUGGGGACCCGCAAGGGCCUGGCGACUCGCGAUACGCCCGCGUCCUAUCAGCUAGUUGGCGGGGUAAAAGCCCACCAAGGCUAAGACGAGUAGCUGGUCUAAGAGGACGACCAGCCACACUGGAACUGAGACACGGUCCAGACACCUACGGGUGGCAGCAGUCGAGAAUUUUUCACAAUGGGCGAAAGCCUGACGAAGCAACGCCGCGUGGAGGAUGAAGGUCUUCGGAUUGUAAACUCCUGUCGACCGGGACGAAUGCACUCGACCUAAUACGUCGGAAUGUUGACGGUACCGGUGGAGGAAGCCACGGGCUAACGUCUGUGCCAGCAG
RNAcentral lists this ribosomal RNA (518 nucleotides) under uncultured bacterium. RNAcentral's name for it is "bacterial SSU rRNA". It matches the Rfam family "Bacterial small subunit ribosomal RNA", at positions 29 to 514 of the family's 1533-position model. The record is from RNAcentral.